UGCAGUCGAACGAUGAAGCCCAGCUUGCUGGGUGGAUUAGUGGCGAACGGGUGAGUAACACGUGAGUAACCUGCCCUUAACUCUGGGAUAAGCCUGGGAAACUGGGUCUAAUACCGGAUAGGAGCGCCUACCGCAUGGUGGGUGUUGGAAAGAUUUAUCGGUUUUGGAUGGACUCGCGGCCUAUCAGCUUGUUGGUGAGGUAAUGGCUCACCAAGGCGACGACGGGUAGCCGGCCUGAGAGGGUGACCGGCCACACUGGGACUGAGACACGGCCCAGACUCCUACGGGAGGCAGCAGUGGGGAAUAUUGCACAAUGGGCGAAAGCCUGAUGCAGCGACGCCGCGUGAGGGAUGACGGCCUUCGGGUUGUAAACCUCUUUCAGUAGGGAAGAAGCGAAAGUGACGGUACCUGCAGAAGAAGCACCGGCUAACUACGUGCCAGCAGCCGCGGUAAUACGUAGGGUGCGAGCGUUAUCCGGAAUUAUUGGGCGUAAAGAGCUCGUAGGCGGUUUGUCGCGUCUGUCGUGAAAGUCCGGGGCUUAACCCCGGAUCUGCGGUGGGUACGGGCAGACUAGAGUGCAGUAGGGGAGACUGGAAUUCCUGGUGUAGCGGUGGAAUGCGCAGAUAUCAGGAGGAACACCGAUGGCGAAGGCAGGUCUCUGGGCUGUAACUGACGCUGAGGAGCGAAAGCAUGGGGAGCGAACAGGAUUAGAUACCCUUGGUAGUCCAUGCCGUAAACGUUGGGCACUAGGUGUGGGGACCAUUCCACCGGUUUCCNGCGCCGCAGCUAACCGCAUUAAAGUGCCCCGGCCUGGGGGAGUACGGGCCGCAAAGGCUAAAAACUCCAAAAGGAAUUUGACGGGGGGCCCCGCACCAAGCG
Molecule: ribosomal RNA, 879 nt
Filed under: Micrococcus luteus
Lineage: Bacteria; Bacillati; Actinomycetota; Actinomycetes; Micrococcales; Micrococcaceae
Description: bacterial SSU rRNA
Rfam family: Bacterial small subunit ribosomal RNA
Source: RNAcentral